Molecule: ribosomal RNA, 497 nt
Filed under: uncultured bacterium
Lineage: Bacteria
Description: partial 16S ribosomal RNA
Rfam family: Bacterial small subunit ribosomal RNA
Source: RNAcentral
GAUGAACGCUGGCGGCGUGCCUAAUACAUGCAAGUCGAGCGAACAGACGAGGAGCUUGCUCCUCUGACGUUAGCGGCGGACGGGUGAGUAACACGUGGAUAACCUACCUAUAAGACUGGGAUAACUUCGGGAAACCGGAGCUAAUACCGGAUAAUAUAUUGAACCGCAUGGUUCAAUAGUGAAAGACGGUUUUGCUGUCACUUAUAGAUGGAUCCGCGCCGCAUUAGCUAGUUGGUAAGGUAACGGCUUACCAAGGCAACGAUGCGUAGCCGACCUGAGAGGGUGAUCGGCCACACUGGAACUGAGACACGGUCCAGACUCCUACGGGAGGCAGCAGUAGGGAAUCUUCCGGAAUGGGCGAAAGCCUGACGGAGCAACGCCGCGUGAGUGAUGAAGGUCUUCGGAUCGUAAAACUCUGUUAUUAGGGAAGAACAAAGGUGUAAGUAACUAUGCACGUCUUGACGGUACCCAAUCAGAAAGCCACGGCUAACUACGUG